Molecule: unclassified non-coding RNA, 275 nt
Filed under: Hevea brasiliensis (rubber tree)
Lineage: Eukaryota; Viridiplantae; Streptophyta; Magnoliopsida; Malpighiales; Euphorbiaceae
Source: RNAcentral
GAUUAGAAUCUCUGACUUGAAAAUAAGUUCUUCUUGAUCCAAGACGCAUUGUACCACCCAUAUGCGUUUUUGAACCCUCCGGCAUGAAAAUUACACAAGGAUUCGGAGUGUUGGGAUCAAACUCUGUACUGUUCGCAUCUUGCAACCCAAGAAUAGAUCUAGCAUACUCAAUAACAGCAAUUUGCAUGCCUAAACAUAUGCCCAGGUAAGGAAUCCUGUUUUCACGUGCGUAUUUGGCAGCAAGUAUUUUACCCUCCACACCUCUAUCACCAAAU